Molecule: ribosomal RNA, 497 nt
Filed under: Acidovorax sp. As57
Lineage: Bacteria; Pseudomonadati; Pseudomonadota; Betaproteobacteria; Burkholderiales; Comamonadaceae
Description: bacterial SSU rRNA
Rfam family: Bacterial small subunit ribosomal RNA
Source: RNAcentral
CAGUCGACGGUAACAGGUCUUCGGAUGCUGACGAGUGGCGAACGGGUGAGUAAUACAUCGGAACGUGCCCGAUCGUGGGGGAUAACGGAGCGAAAGCUUUGCUAAUACCGCAUACGAUCUACGGAUGAAAGCAGGGGACCGCAAGGCCUUGCGCGGACGGAGCGGCCGAUGGCAGAUUAGGUAGUUGGUGGGAUAAAAGCUUACCAAGCCGACGAUCUGUAGCUGGUCUGAGAGGACGACCAGCCACACUGGGACUGAGACACGGCCCAGACUCCUACGGGAGGCAGCAGUGGGGAAUUUUGGACAAUGGGCGAAAGCCUGAUCCAGCCAUGCCGCGUGCAGGAUGAAGGCCUUCGGGUUGUAAACUGCUUUUGUACGGAACGAAAAGACUCUUUCUAAUAAAGAGGGUCCAUGACGGUACCGUAAGAAUAAGCACCGGCUAACUACGUGCCAGCAGCCGCGGUAAUACGUAGGGUGCAAGCGUUAAUCGGAAUUAC